ACUACCCUUUCCGGCUGGGUGAGAACAAAAGAGCAGCUGCUAACCCUCCCCAGGGUGAAGUGCUUGCUGUCACUCUCUUGGGACGCCGUGGGGGUCGGGUGGGGAACUGCCCACCGCACAGGCACCAGGCGGCGCGGGAACGUGGUCUCGCAGACAAGUAGCUCCCGCCCACCCGCUUCGCUGGGUCCCCUCUGGAGACGCUCGCCCGCAGCGACAGGCAAGGAGGGGAGGACCUGACGCAGCAGCCUGCAACCGAGCUUGUUGCGCGACACACAAAGGCGCUGGAAGCUGGUCCGCGAGAGGGCGGAGGCGGACGGCGCGGGACCCGCGGCAGAGGCAGACAAGACCUCCUUGGUAACCUCUUGCUGUUGGAAGACCACCACCGUAAUCCUGCGAUGAGUGAAGGAGCAUGAGUGAGAAGACAGAGGUGUUGUUCAGGUUCCACAUGACAGAAACAUUUCAGGAGAGAUUCUUCCUCCGUGUCAUCUUUUAUUCCUACGUCUGCAUCUUCCCUGCCUUUCUCCACCCUGCCCUCCGCACUGGGCGGCUGAUCUUCACAGAUGGCACCAUUGGGUUUUCUGGCUCUUUGGUGAGAUGUGGCCAGUGAGAGGCCCUGCAUAAGGCUGGAGGCCAGUAUCCCCGCCCAUUCAACCUUCACCCCAGUGAACUGGUCACUGAUGUCUGCUUCACCAAGCCUGUGGUGCACAGCUGCGUCUACCUCCGUGACAGUGACUAAAGCAUCGGUCUGAUCCCAAGCAGAGGGCAGCUCUUCACUGAAAAACCUGCUCGUUCCCAGGUGUGCAGCUAGACCACGUUCCCGGCCCCGUGCAGCUUCUCCGAGUGGCGUGUGUCAGAUCCACAGCCCACUGUGGGUGCCGCUACGGCUGCUGUGCAGCGCGGUGCUUACGUUGUGCGGGGCCCGGCUUCUUUGCUCCGUGGCACAGGAACUGAUUUUUAAGAAUCUUUGAACUCCCUGCAGCUCCCAGAAGUGAUUUCGUGGGGCACCAUGAAUGAUGAUUAAAAGGUACAGCAAGCCCUGGCAGCAGACCCUGAAGACUGGCCAAAGGACAGUUCUCUAUUCCUGGCCCCGGGAACUCACUCAAGACCCUUUGGUUAAGCUGCUUAACGAGCUGUCUGGAUGAACUGUUGGGAGAAGCUCCGGGCUUAGCAGCUGGCUCCACCGGGUUGUACAGUGACUGCAGCUUUCCGCACUCAGGGCUUAGGAGUCCUUGGGAAGACGGGGCCUGGGGUGUGACCCUGGCCACAGCACGCGGGGCUGGCUGGGAGAGUUCAUCAUGUCCUCAUCCACUGAAAAACACCAAACCCAGAGCAAACUUGGAGCUGUUGGCUUAAGCCUGCUUGCCUCUGGCCUCUGACCAUCUGGUAUAUCUGGGCAGCGUGCAUGCCGAUUUGAACACGGAUAUAUGUAAGAGAGGAAGAAGGUGGGUAAGUGGAGCACAAUGCUGUCCACAUUGUCUUUGUGAUUUCGAAGGUAAAUAUGAUGCCAUGCCAUUAAAGGGUCUUCCCCGGAAACCUCGUAGCCUGAGAAGUUUGCCCACACUCCUCAGCCCAGCGUGAUGGUGAGAGACCAGACUCUGCCUCACACUGACUCUUCGAGCAGGCUGCUUCUCCCUGACUCUGGGCCAUAUUUUGGUAAACAGUGAAUUAGUUUUCUCCUCCGACUCCUUCUCCUCAUCUUCCAUUUAUUUUAAUAAAUAGCUUUUUCUUAGUAUCC
This is a long non-coding RNA of Cavia porcellus (domestic guinea pig), 1735 nucleotides long. RefSeq lists it as uncharacterized. Lineage: Eukaryota; Metazoa; Chordata; Mammalia; Rodentia; Caviidae. The transcript is spliced from 5 exons. The record is from RefSeq and is a predicted model, not a curated record.